This 80-nucleotide transfer RNA is filed under the name Perca fluviatilis (European perch). It matches the Rfam family "tRNA". Rfam says of the family: Transfer RNA (tRNA) molecules are approximately 80 nucleotides in length. The record is from Rfam by way of RNAcentral. Lineage: Eukaryota; Metazoa; Chordata; Actinopteri; Perciformes; Percidae.
GACGAGGUGGCCGAGUGGUUAAGGCGAUGGACUGCUAAUCCAUUGUGCUCUGCGCAUGGGUUCAAAUCCCAUCCUCGUUG